RNAcentral lists this long non-coding RNA (500 nucleotides) under Ananas comosus (pineapple). RNAcentral describes it as "long non-coding RNA (ACOM_LNC023163)". Lineage: Eukaryota; Viridiplantae; Streptophyta; Magnoliopsida; Poales; Bromeliaceae. The record is from RNAcentral.
UCUAAUACCAUUUUAAUCUGUCAUGCCUUGGGGCCUAAUUAAUAGAAGAAUUGGUAUAAAAUAGUGUCGUUUUAUAAAUCAGAGUUGUAGAUUUUUUUUUUAACGACUUGGUCCACGUGACGUACAAACCCGCCACAAAUACAAAUUUCCCUGUCUACAUGGACAGAGUCUCUUUUAUAUUUGCACAGCGUACCGAUCAAUAACAUCAACAGGAUCACCACUCACAACCUACAUUCAUCAAAUCCACAGGCGAUUUAUGCGAUGCAUUUACAUACAGCUAAUCAUCAUUAAAAAUAAUGCAUGUCUUUAAGCACUCCUUAGGUGCUGGAUGAUGCGAUACACAAUACAAUAAUCAUCCUAUUUAAAAGUAUUUCUUACCCAAAAGCUUUAUUUUUAAACUCUAAUUAUUCGUUAAACAAAAAUCAUUCAAAAAGCCUUUUGAAAACUGUCUCUCACACAAAAACUCAAUCUUUGAAAAUCGACUACCUUGAGGGUUAGAA